Mytilus trossulus (common blue mussel) is the source of this 5985-nucleotide long non-coding RNA. RefSeq lists it as uncharacterized. Lineage: Eukaryota; Metazoa; Mollusca; Bivalvia; Mytilida; Mytilidae. The transcript has 3 exons. The record is from RefSeq and is a predicted model, not a curated record.
AAUAAAGCUCACUGAGAUCUGUGUCGUACAGUUUUAAUAAAAUCCUCUAUUAAUUUAGAAUUUUAACAUAUCUAUCUGAAAGUGAUGGACAUUGGGCUUUCAUUUACCCCGUCAGACCUAUACCACCUUACGUUUAGAACUGGUAAAAACUCACAUUUAUAACCUGAAAUUGUUCUAGCUAUUAGUAUUAUAAUAUAUAGUGAAUGCAUUUAUAUAUUUAAUCAUAUUUAAUAUAAAUUUCUUUUAAAAAUAGUUGAAUUGGCCAUGUCAGAGACCACUGACCACAUAAUUCAGAGGUUUCACUUCGGUGGACAAAAUUUAACGCAUACCGGGAAAUACUCAUAUCAAUACCGACAUUUUUGUGAUUAUGUUUUCAAGAUAGAUAACUCUUGUGUGAAUACUGAAACAGCUGCUUUCGCUCCCUACAACAACAUCAGACCCGGCGGUGUACAUGCUAUCAGGUAUACUACCCGUCGAAGCGCAAAUUGACAAAAGAGCACUUGGAUUAUUUAAUAACAUCUGUAACCAAGACGAAAGCAGCACGGAAAAACAACUGGCACGCAGGCAAAUUGAGGUCAAAUCCUUGGAAAGCAACAGCUGGUUUAUAGAAAUCAAAAAGAUCCUAACAAAAUAUAACAUGGAUGAAAUCAACAACUAUCUUGAUAUACCUAUGAAGAAAGAAAAAUGGACCCCACUAAUAAACCGAACUAUCCAAAAACACUGGAAUGACUCAAUAACAACAAUGGUUCCAUAUUACAAAGGCCUGUUGUAUUGUUAUAUGUAUAACCGACUUUAAAUAAAUAUUUUAUGCUAUGCUUUAUGCCUACAGCAUCUAAAUUACAUGGAAUUUUACCAAGGGAAGCUACACCCCCUGCUAAAAAUCAAAUGCCAAUCAGCUAGAGACAUAGGAAGAAUUCCUCCAAAACUUAAAAUGCUAACUGGCACAUACAUUCUGCAAUCACAUAGAAUCAAAAUGUACCAAAAUGAAAUAGAUCCGAUGUGUCUUAUAUGCCACCAAGGAGACGAAACACUUGAACAUUUCAUCCUAGAAUGUGAAGGCCUAUCCAACAUCAGGAAUCCAAUUGCGGAUGAAAUAAAUGCAAUUCUGAAGAGUUCAAUUUACACAGAAUUUCAUGAGCAAACAUCAAAAAUAAAGAUGCAAAUUCUCAAUGCUCUGGAAAAAUCUGAAACUGGACAGUGAAUUAAUAGCCAAAAUUGAAUAUUGUAGCCGCCGCCUUCUUUUUUUGCUACACACCACCAGAUAAAAUUUCCUCUCAAAAGGAUUGAAAAAGGACAAGAAUAACGUAAAGGUGUAAUAACCAUACAACUAUAAUACCUAUAACAGAACACUGUGUAUAUAUAUAUAACUGUAUAUUCAAAAUUCAUUGGUAAUGGACUACAAACUGCACUGUAUAUAAAGCACCCAGGUGAAGGAUAUUUAUAGUUCAACAUACUGGUGCCUACGAAGACACUGGUGUGGUUCUCCUAUACAGGAGGUCAAAGAUACAGAGGUGAAGGUGAUCAGAUAAUCUUUGCGAAUAAUCAGGGGAAUCUAAAUGUUGUUUUUGUUGGAACCCCUGAAUCAUGACUACAUAUUGUCAAAAUCCAACAUUGGCGUGACAAGAAAAAGUGGAACCCUACAUACAAAUGUUCAAAUACCAUCAGAGAUAAUUUGGAAUUCUGAUAAGCCAGCACUUUCAAAAGAUAGCUCGUCAUGCAACAUUUACCUGCUUCUGCCUGAUAAUGGCCACAAUCAACGAGCUGAUUAUUAUGCCAUGAAACUUCUUAGAUGAUAUCCCAAAGAUAGUUUAUGAUUAAAUUUUGACAUUUUACACAUGGACGGGGCAUAAAUGUCAUUUUAUGUAGCACCUAUAGAUACAACUUGAUUAUCAUUGGGAAAAAUGUUCUGUUCCAGUUCUAUUGAUAAAUAAGACUACAAUUUGUUUUGAUUUCAAAUAUUCUUUACAACAACUAUAUGUACAAAUUUGGGUUGGCUAAAGACAUGAAAGAGGGUUUCAGUUUCAUUACACAUGAGCAGAUGAGACUUUUAAGGCUUGAAAGAUUCUACAGAAUUAAAAAAAAAUAAUCAGAUGCAAGUCAACACAAUAUUAUAUACUACAAGAUGCAUUUAGUUAUAGACUGCACAACAUAUCACUUCAUACAGUAGGAAGAAAAGACUAGUUUACCGGUAACCACCAACUAUGGAGAGAGGAAGACAAGAAAUGUUUUCUAUCAAUUAAGAUUUAUUCCAAAGGAGAAGAAAGGCAAUUGAACAAAAAUCCCUGUGCAGUUUUGAACAAAUGUUACUAAUUUUAACAAAUAAGUGUAUGUGAGCUUUGAAACUAACCAUUGCCAGAAAUAUAAAGCCACAUUGUAAAUGUAUAUCUCUUCCGAUUACACACAUAUAAAGUUCACAAUUUGGACAGAGGAAUCGGAAAAAAAAGCCUCCCUAGAAUGAAUUGCACAUUCAUUGUGUAUUUACCAGAUUUGUAGACCUUAUUAGAAUGUACCUGUACACACUUAUUUAUGGAUGAAUAUUUGACAACCACAGAAAAUAAAGAAAAAUCAAGUUGGACUGGCAUCAUGCAUUCACGGUUCAGCCUAAAUUCCAAAACAAUGGUUUAUUUGUUAAACAUGAUUUAUGAAAGGUUUAAAGACAUUCUGGAUUUAUGAAAUGGACACCAUGACACAGCUGUAUUCAGAAACUCCAAAGUAAGAACAUCACACAAGAAUAUUGAAAAAAAUCAGACUAUGGAUUACACUAUAUUAAGGCAAUAUACCUUAUGAUCCUCCAGAUGAAGAACAAAGAUUAACAACCAAAUUGAAACAUAUUGGUGUUUAACAUGUAUGCCAAUUACAAUGAAUUAACACAAUCUGACAAUGAUAUUUCCAUGUCAUCGUGACAUGAACAUUUCCAAAGGGGCACUAGCCAUGAACAUAAAGUUGACAAGAAAUGAAAUACAAUUUUGUUUAGACAUUUACAUUUAUUUAACCUAAAUUAUGAAAUGUGUGAAUGAAUAUUUCAAGGAAGAUAAUUGAAUUUUACCUAGUUUACAUUGCAAUACAUGUAUUUGGCAACAGAAAUGUCUCAUGACAGUUGUAAAAUAAGUACCCCACAAAUAUUUUACAGGAGUUUUGUCCCCUUGAAAAUGUUUGCUAAAAAUAUUGAAAUUUGCAAUGCAUAAAUAUAUGUAAAUGCUAUCACUUCUACAUUUAUCAACAGAAUUUCUGAAAAGUGUUGAAAAUGCUCUUUUAUUUUUGUUUGAAUUAUGCCUGUAGGAAAUUUUGAUUUAUGAUAAAAAUUUAAUUUCAAGAGCACACGCCACCCUCUUUCUUUAAGAAUUGUUAUUAAAUUUCUUUUAUCUUAGCAAUGACAAAUUGAAUAUGUGCAAACAUUGGAAUGUCAGGGGUUUUUUUGUGUUUUUAUUUCAUAAUGAUGUCAUUUUUAGCUCACCUUUCCUAAAAGGAAAUGUGAGCUUUUGCCAUCACUUGGCAUCCAUCGUCGUAGUCCGUCCUCGUCGUAAAUUAUUUAAAAGAUCUUAUUCUCUGAAACUACUGACCCAAUUCCAACUAAACUUAAGCUGAAUGAUCCUUAGGGUAUCUAGAAUAAAGUUUGUAUUUUAUUUUCUAUUUCGUCCAAAAACAUGCCACCAUGGCUAAAAAUAGAGCAUAGGGGUAAAAUGCAGUUUUUGGCUUAUAUCUCAAAAACUAAAGCAUUUAGAGCAAAUCUGACAUGGGGUGAAUAUGUUAAUCAGGUCAGAUCUAUCAGCCCUGAAAUUUUCAGAUGAAUUGAACAACCCAUUGUUGGGUUGCUGCCACUUAAUUGGUAAUUUACGGAAAUUUUGCAGUUUUUUAUCAUUAUCUUGAAUAUUAUUCUAGAUAAAGAGAAACUAUAAACAGCAAAAAUGUUCAGCAAAGUAAGAUCUACUAAUAUGUCAAGAUACCAAAAUUGUCAACUGACCUUUUAAGGAGUUAUUGCCCUUUAAAGAUAUUUAAUUAUAACUUAAUUUCUUUUACUUGUUAGCUUACUUUAAAAAAUCUUCUCCUUUGAAACUGCUGAAUAAAUUUCAGCCAAACUCAGGCUGAAUGAGUUUCAGAGUAUCUAGUAUAAAUUUUAUAUUUAUUUCCUUUUACGUCAAGAAGCAUAGCCUGUAUGGUUAAAAAAAACAUAGGGGUAAAAUGCAUUUUUUUGCUUUUGAAGAAGAUAUGAUCAGAUUCAAGAAUAGAUAUAUAAAUUGAAAAGCCAAAAUAAUCAUUGAUCAUUGAUUUAAGCAAAUAAUUUAAGGUGAAUGAUUCAGGCUCUUGAGAGCCUCUUGUUUUUAAUAUUCUAUUUCUUUACACUUGUAAAUUUUUAUACCCAAAAAAUAUUUAUAUUUAUAGGUCACACUGUGUAUACAUUGUAUAUUAUAGAAGUGUUUAGCAGUGUUCUCCCCACCAAUUUCAAAUAGCAUCCUGUGAAACAGACAGAUUUAAAAUACCAUCAUGUUUCUCAAAAUAAUAGCAUCACAUCCAUAACGCAAUCUAUACAAAAAUAAUUUCAGAGAGCAUCACAUUCAAACAAUAUAGCAUCACAUUGGCAUGAUGCUACAAAGGCCCUGGGGAGAACACUGUUUAGUAAUAAAACUGUAUGGACAUGUAAAUUUAUCUUGAAAGUGUCAGAUUGAAUUCUCUUGUUUUAUUUUCUCAUGAUGUAAACAAUGCUCAUGAUAAUAUAUAUAAAUCAGUUAAACCUAGCCAUUCCACAGUUUAAAGAUCAAUAAACUUGCACACAAGAUAUUUUAUAUUUCUUCAAUUAUCCAGAUAUUGGUAUUUAUUCAGAAACUCUGAUAUGUUUUUUGGUAACAAUUAACUUUUACUGGUAGGGGACUAUGUAUUGCCAUGCAAUACUCUCAGCAUGCUGUAUACUUUACAUAAUGGUCUGUGUCUACGCUUGCUUUUCUUUGCAUGAAGCUAUUAAAGUUACAACAAAAUACCUUAUAGUAUAUAUAAAAAGAAGAUUUGGUGUAAUUGCAAUUAGACAACUCUAAACAAGAGACCAAAUUAAAUGACACAGAAAUUAACAACCAUAGGUCACCAUACGGCCUUCAACAAUGAGCAAAGCCCAUACCGCAUAGUCAGCUAUAAAAGGCCCCGAAAUAACAAAUGCAAAACAAUUCAAAUGAGAAAACUAACGGCCAAAUUUAUGUACAAAUAAAAGAACGAAAAACAAAUAUGUAACACAGCAACAAACGACAACCACUGAAUUACAGGCUCCUGACUUGGGACAGGCACAUAUAUAUAUAAUGAGGCGGGGUUAAACCAGUUAGCGGGAUCCCAACCCUCCCCCUAAUAUAGGUAAACUAAUAGCAUAGUAACAAGUUUAAAUAAGAUUUUAAGUUUACUUACAUGAUACUACUGUCUAUUGAAAAAGCAUAACCGAUACGUGAAUUGCAUUUACAUGAUAUAUAUAGAAACCCUUAGUUUGUCAACUUUUUGCUUUAUAAAUGUUUUUUGCAGAAACUAGAAUAUAUUUUAUCAAGGUAAACUAAAAACAAGCAAGCAGAUUUAACAAUUUUAGACGAUACAAACUUUAUCAUCAAUUAGCUUGUGUAGAUGUCUUUGUAAUACCAAAUGAAAUAAUAAAAUAAUAUCAGAAAUUUUUUUCGAACAUUAAAGUCUAGAAAUUAGUUUUGCUAUCUUAAAAUUAAACAUUUCCAGUAAGCUUACCUAUUUGUCUAUUUUUGUAAUUUUUAUGUUUGUUUGCAAAUUCAUGUAUGUUUUAAUCAUCACAAUGUAUUAUUACAGAAAAUAUUUACCAUCUACUGUGUUGUUAUCUUAUUUUAAAAUAUGAUGGGUAAUUAUCAUGUUGCAAUGCUUGUUUCAGCAUACAUUUUAUCAUAAACUUAUGCGAUAAACCAUAAGCAAAGUCUCAGUUAACUGUGAUUUACUGAAAAAAAUCUUGAAAGUAUAUUAAAAAUAAAUUUCAAGAUGAUCGCUUUAAAAUAA